AACGAACGCUGGCGGCAUGCCUAACACAUGCAAGUCGAACGAGACCUUCGGGUCUAGUGGCGCACGGGUGCGUAACGCGUGGGAACCUGCCCUUAGGUUCGGAAUAACUCCCCGAAAGGGGUGCUAAUACCGGCUAAUGUCUUCGGACCAAAGAUUUAUCGCCUUUGGAUGGGCCCGCGUUGGAUUAGCUAGUUGGUAGGGUAAAAGCCUACCAAGGCGACGAUCCAUAGCUGGUCUGAGAGGAUGAUCAGCCACACUGGGACUGAGACACGGCCCAGACUCCUACGGGAGGCAGCAGUGGGGAAUAUUGGACAAUGGGCGAAAGCCUGAUCCAGCAAUGCCGCGUGAGUGAUGAAGGCCUUAGGGUUGUAAAGCUCUUUUACCCGGGAUGAUAAUGACAGUACCGGGAGAAUAAGCACCGGCUAACUCCGUG
This 433-nucleotide ribosomal RNA is filed under the name uncultured bacterium. RNAcentral's name for it is "partial 16S ribosomal RNA". It matches the Rfam family "Bacterial small subunit ribosomal RNA", at positions 29 to 507 of the family's 1533-position model. The record is from RNAcentral.